GAGUUUGAUCCUGGCUCAGGAUGAACGCUGGCGGCGUGCCUAACACAUGCAAGUCGAACGGAGUUAAACGCUGAAUUGAUGGUAGCUUGCUAUUGGAUUUUCUUGUUUAACUUAGUGGCGGACGGGUGAGUAACACGUGAGCAACCUGCCUUUCAGAGGGGGAUAACGGCUGGAGACGGUCGCUAAUACCGCAUGACAUAUUCGAGUGGCAUCGCUUGAAUAUCAAAGGAGCAAUCCGCUGAAAGAUGGGCUCGCGUCUGAUUAGGUAGUUGGCGGGUAACGGCCCACCAAGCCGACGAUCAGUAGCCGACCUGAGAGGGUGACC
This 325-nucleotide ribosomal RNA is filed under the name uncultured bacterium. RNAcentral describes it as "bacterial SSU rRNA". It matches the Rfam family "Bacterial small subunit ribosomal RNA", at positions 9 to 305 of the family's 1533-position model. The record is from RNAcentral.